RNAcentral lists this ribosomal RNA (253 nucleotides) under uncultured bacterium. Its description in RNAcentral is "partial 16S ribosomal RNA". It matches the Rfam family "Bacterial small subunit ribosomal RNA", at positions 524 to 776 of the family's 1533-position model. The record is from RNAcentral.
UACGUAGGGUGCGAGCGUUGUCCGGAAUUAUUGGGCGUAAAGAGCUCGUAGGCGGUUUGUCGCGUCGGCUGUGAAAACCCGGGGCUCAACCCCGGGCCUGCAGUCGAUACGGGCAAACUAGAGUGUGGUAGGGGAGACUGGAAUUCCUGGUGUAGCGGUGAAAUGCGCAGAUAUCAGGAGGAACACCGGUGGCGAAGGCGGGACUCUGGGCCGAUACUGACGCUGAGGAGCGAAAGCGUGGGGAGCAAACAGG